CCUACGGGGGCUGCAGUGGGGAAUAUUGGACCAUGGGCGAAAGCCUGAUCCAGCCAUGCCGCGUGUGUGAAGAAGGCCUUCGGGUUGUAAAGCACUUUCAGUGGGGAAGAAAGCCUUGGGGCUAAUACCCUCGAGGAAGGACAUCACCCACAGAAGAAGCACCGGCUAACUCCGUGCCAGCAGCCGCGGUAAUACGGAGGGUGCGAGCGUUAAUCGGAAUUACUGGCGUAAAGCGCGCGUAGGCGGUCUGAUAAGCCGGUUGUGAAAGCCCCGGGCUCAACCUGGGAACGGCAUCCGGAACUGUCAGGCUAGAGUGCAGGAGAGGAAGGUAGAAUUCCCGGUGUAGCGGUGAAAUGCGUAGAGAUCGGGAGGAAUACCAGUGGCGAAGGCGGCCUUCUGGACUGACACUGACGCUGAGGUGCGAAAGCGUGGGUAGCAAACAGGAUUAGAUACCCCUGUAGUC
Molecule: ribosomal RNA, 463 nt
Filed under: Vreelandella stevensii
Lineage: Bacteria; Pseudomonadati; Pseudomonadota; Gammaproteobacteria; Oceanospirillales; Halomonadaceae
Description: partial 16S ribosomal RNA
Rfam family: Bacterial small subunit ribosomal RNA
Source: RNAcentral